Rhincodon typus (whale shark) is the source of this 458-nucleotide long non-coding RNA. RefSeq lists it as uncharacterized. The transcript is spliced from 3 exons. NCBI's taxonomy places the organism in Eukaryota, Metazoa, Chordata, Chondrichthyes, Orectolobiformes, Rhincodontidae. The record is from RefSeq and is a predicted model, not a curated record.
ACGUUUUCCUUGUGUCUGCGUGGGCUUCCGCCCACAGUCAAAGAUGUACAAGCUAAGUGGAUUUGCUGUCAGGUAGGCAGCUGGGUCUGGGUGGGAUGCUCACUGAGUCCAUGACCCGGGCUUCAGAACAUGAGACUCGCUGCCUCCACGCACUGGCCUCCAUCCAGGACUGGUCCCCGGCUGCGAUUUGGCUUCCAACUCAGCCUGGGCUCGCUUUGCUCCCUCUCCAGCUCUGGCCGUGACUAGGCUCCCAGUUUGGUACUCACUCUGCUCGCUCUCUACCGUGACUCGCUUCCAGGACUCAGCCCCUCAGACUCCAUUCUCCAUUCCCUCCAGAUAUUUCACUGACAGAAAAUCAGUACACACUGUAAAGGUUUCCAGCACUCAAAAAUAUUCCAGCAUCCACAGUACUUUGCCUUCUUUCGUCUGUUUCUGGGGAACAGUAUCUCUCCCUGCCU